Molecule: transfer RNA, 70 nt
Filed under: Salvia splendens (bonfire salvia)
Lineage: Eukaryota; Viridiplantae; Streptophyta; Magnoliopsida; Lamiales; Lamiaceae
Rfam family: tRNA
About the family: Transfer RNA (tRNA) molecules are approximately 80 nucleotides in length.
Source: Rfam by way of RNAcentral
GCACAACUAGCACAGUGGUAGAGCAAUUGAAUCCAGAUCAAUAUUUAUCCGGUUCGAACCCGGUUGUUUA